Long non-coding RNA from Artibeus jamaicensis (Jamaican fruit-eating bat), 339 nucleotides. RefSeq lists it as uncharacterized. The record is from RefSeq and is a predicted model, not a curated record. Lineage: Eukaryota; Metazoa; Chordata; Mammalia; Chiroptera; Phyllostomidae. The transcript has 3 exons.
CCGGAAGCAGCCAUGUUCCCCCAGACUGCACCGCGCCGGGAGCUGCAGGGGAGCGGGAGGACCCCGCGGCGCCCCUCGGACGCCGCCGGGGCGUGCUGCCCUGGCUGCAUCCCCUCUUGGUCCAUCUGAGCAAGGGAGGUGACGGCUCCUGGGGCAACCGCAAGGCUGAUGUGGCCCCUGGUGAAAAUGAGUUUGACACCCCUAUGCUGGAGCAAAAAGAAAUACCAAAGGAAACAUGGACAUUCAAGGUGCCUCCAAGAAAAUCAUUGAUCUGAUUUGAGAGUGCUCAUGAGAACACCACCUAAUCACAAGAGAAAAUGGUAUUUACUGCCAACAAUG